CGUCGGUUCACUGUCUUGUCACUAUCUGAUCUCUGUCGGAUUACAUUCGGUAGAAUCGGGACGCAGUCGUGACAGACUCGGUCGAAUUUUACCUGGCGAAAGAUACAAAUCGGGUUAAAAGCGGAUUUAGAACGGGAUUAUCGGGAUAAAUUCGCUUGGAAACGGUUGAAUAUCGACGCUUCCUGAACAAUAUCUGAUUGUUGUCGUG
This 208-nucleotide long non-coding RNA is filed under the name Mytilus galloprovincialis (Mediterranean mussel). The record is from RNAcentral. Lineage: Eukaryota; Metazoa; Mollusca; Bivalvia; Mytilida; Mytilidae.